UGGCUCAGGACGAACGCUGGCGGCGUGCCUAACACAUGCAAGUCGAGCGGAGACAGAGGAAGGAAGGCUUCGGCCGGAGAGCCUGUGUUCAGCGGCGGACGGGUGAGUAACGCGUGAGCAACCUGUCCUUCACAGGGGGAUAAGAUACCGAAAGGUGUCCUAAUACCGCAUAAGACCACAGAGUCGCAUGACAGAGGGGUCAAAGGAGAAGUCCGGUGAAGGGUGGGCUCGCGUCCGAUUAGAUAGUUGGUGAGGUAACGGCCCCACCAAGUCAACGAUCGGUAGCCGACCUGAGAGGGUGAUCGGCCACAUUGGGACUGAGGCACGGCCCAGACUCCUACGGGAGGCAGCAGUGGGGAAUAUUGGGCAAUGGGGGGAACCCUGACCCAGCAACGCCGCGUGGAGGAAGAAGGUCUUCGGAUCGUAAACUCCUGUCCUAAGAGACGAGCAGGAGACGGUAACUUAGGAGGAAGCCCCGGCUAACUACGUGCCAGCCGCUGC
This 501-nucleotide ribosomal RNA is filed under the name uncultured bacterium. RNAcentral describes it as "bacterial SSU rRNA". It matches the Rfam family "Bacterial small subunit ribosomal RNA", at positions 20 to 518 of the family's 1533-position model. The record is from RNAcentral.